This 1333-nucleotide long non-coding RNA is filed under the name Homo sapiens (human). Its description in RNAcentral is "non-protein coding lnc-RNF13-3:3". The record is from RNAcentral. Lineage: Eukaryota; Metazoa; Chordata; Mammalia; Primates; Hominidae.
GGAGAGGGUGGACCCCGCGUCGCUCUCGGCACCCCAGGAACAGCGGCGGCACGGACGCCUUGGAGCCCCGCGGCCGGGCCGCGAUGUGCUUUUCUCCUGUGUUCGCUGCCCGGGAUGCGGAAUCUUGAGCCUCGGUGUCGGGUUACAGAGUUGUCCUGGUGACGGGAUGCGGAGCGUUUCCUCCUUUUUGUUGUGGGGGCGGCUGGUGGCAGGGGCAGCUGGUGGCAGGGUUGCCCACGCUAAUCUCCGAGUCUCUAAGGGCACCGUCUUUCCUGGAUCCCUCUUGCGCCUCGUCCAUAAAGGCAGACCCGCGGGCGCGCGCCGGCAACCUGAAAUCAGAGCAGGCGUCCGUGGCGCUCAGGAACCUUGCUGAGCUUCGCCGAUCUUUCAUUGUUGCUUCAUUUGGGUACCAAGGGCCUCUCAUUCUGUGGAUUCUUUGCCUGGAGGAGCCCCCUUAAUGUUGCUAAUCACGUGUGGUUAAAUUGCUCGUAAAUUCCGAACAAAACAAAUAGCGACCUGUGUUACACUGUUUCUUGGUAACUGGGAAAGUUACUGGUGGCUUGAAGUAUACGCAGAAAAUACAAAGAUUAAAAACUAGGGAAGAGUUCACUGAAUGAACACCGUAACAUUUCUGCUCUGCAGGGUAAAAUAAUUUCGGGACCCAGGUCUGGGAAAGAUUUGUAUUAACAAGGUAAACGGUGGGUAGAGUGCCUGAGAAGCUAUUCGUAUCGUCUUUGGUAGCCUCUGGGCACUAGGACUAGACAUGGAAUUAGGGGUCCCCCAACAAUGACUUCAAUUUUAGGUUAAUAGAAACCAUCUGCCACUUAAGGGAAAGAAAGCACCAAAAUGUAGAUAAGUUGAUGUUCACCCUUAAAGUUAUCGUGUGAGGUCAUGAUUUGUAGGAGGAUUAAGGAAUGUAUCUCUGGAAAGGGCAAGAACGUUGCUUUUAAAAGUCUAAUUGGUUCUGAAGUUUUAUAUUUUUUCUGCUGAUUGCUUUAAAAUGUUCAGCUACUAGAGAGAAAAAAAGUACAGUAAAAGAAACCCCCAAGUCAGAGACCUAUCAGACUGAGAAUAUGUAUUUUCUCAUGUUCUAAAGAUACAGAAUACCUGUGUGGUGUAAAAUGUGAACCAAAAAUUGUUUCAUUUUUGUAAGUGUGCCUCCCACCUGAUUUAAUUACACUUAAUUGUUCUUGUUUAUGACUCUGCCUUUUAUGGUGAUGUUGAUCAUUUUAGUCCUUCGAUCAUAGCACUGUAUCAUCUUAAAAGUUAAUAAUAGAUUACUUGUAACACAGGCUCACUAUGUGAGAAUUCAUCAAGCUGUAUGUACAUUUAU